Molecule: long non-coding RNA, 855 nt
Filed under: Homo sapiens (human)
Lineage: Eukaryota; Metazoa; Chordata; Mammalia; Primates; Hominidae
Description: long non-coding RNA NONHSAT219360.1
Source: RNAcentral
CCGAGGAAAACUGAGCGUGGGCCUCAGAAAGAAGUUAAGGCACCCGCGAGCCGGGCAACUGCCCUCCUUCCGCGCCGGCGGAGCGAUUAAAGUGAAGAAACAAUGGCCAGCAAUCACAAAUCUUCAGCAGCUCGCCCUGUUUCAAGAGGUGGAGUUGGGUUAACAGGAAGGCCUCCUUCUGGGAUACGACCCCUAUCAGGAAAUAUUCGAGUGGCAACUGCAAUGCCACCUGGGACAGCAAGACCAGGUUCUCGUGGUUGUCCCAUAGGGACUGGUGGAGUUCUGUCUUCUCAAAUCAAAGUUGCCCAUCGCCCUGUAACACAACAAGGUUUGACUGGAAUGAAAACUGGGACGAAAGGUCCCCAGAGGCAAAUUUUAGACAAAUCUUACUAUCUUGGGCUUCUUAGAAGUAAAAUAAGUGAACUUACAACUGAAGUUAAUAAACUUCAGAAGGGAAUAGAAAUGUACAAUCAAGAGAAUUCAGUAUAUUUGUCAUAUGAAAAGAGGGCUGAGACUUUAGCUGUUGAGAUAAAAGAGCUUCAAGGACAACUAGCAGACUACAACAUGAUAAACUUAAUACCAACACUGAAAUGGAAGAAGUAAUGAAUGAUUACAAUAUGCUUAAAGCUCAAAAUGAUCGAGAAACACAAAGUUUGGAUGUCAUAUUUACUGAAAGACAAGCGAAAGAAAAACAAAUCAGAAGUGUCGAAGAAGAAAUUGAACAGGAAAAACAAGCAACAGAUGACAUUAUCAAAAAUAUGUCUUUUGAAAACCAAGUCAAGUACCUAGAGAUGAAAACCACAAAUGAGAAACUGUUACAGGAAUUAGAUACACUUCAACAACAAUUGGAUUCAC